This 113-nucleotide ribosomal RNA is filed under the name Fukomys damarensis (Damara mole-rat). Lineage: Eukaryota; Metazoa; Chordata; Mammalia; Rodentia; Bathyergidae. The record is from RNAcentral.
CCAAGGGCUAGAAAUUGUGGGCCAUAGCACCUGAUCCUGUGUGAUCUCAAAAGCUAAGCAGGGUAAGGUCUGGUUAGUACUUGGAUGGGAGAAAUUGUUGGACAGACCCUGGA